RNAcentral lists this transfer RNA (74 nucleotides) under Candidatus Woesearchaeota archaeon. Its description in RNAcentral is "tRNA-Gln". It matches the Rfam family "tRNA". Rfam says of the family: Transfer RNA (tRNA) molecules are approximately 80 nucleotides in length. Their secondary structure includes four short double-helical elements and three loops (D, anti-codon, and T loops). The record is from RNAcentral. Lineage: Archaea; Nanobdellati; Candidatus Woesearchaeota.
GGGCCGGUAGCUCAGCUUGGUAGAGCAUCUGUCUUUGAAUCAGGUGGUCGAGGGUUCAAAUCCCUUCCGGCCCG